Molecule: long non-coding RNA, 433 nt
Filed under: Olea europaea subsp. europaea
Lineage: Eukaryota; Viridiplantae; Streptophyta; Magnoliopsida; Lamiales; Oleaceae
Source: RNAcentral
GUGAAUUUCACAAAAGACAUACAAGUACGUCAAAAAGGGGGUUCACGUACAUAUUUAAAAAGCUCAUAAUUUUGCUAUUAGUAAAAAUUUAAAUUGGCCAGAAAAAAAUAAUUACAAACUGGAAGUCUGGAAUCAAGAACUACCUCCGGCUGUUACAGCAUUCUCCGAACCAAGAAUCACAGAACCUUCCAUUUUCCACUGCAAUUUGAGCCUUAAUACACUUCUCUCUCUAAAUGGUUCAACCAACCCGAAUUUCUAUGAUUGCCAAAAUAUGCCUAGCUUUCGCUCUCUAUGUGAUUGUGCGCGGGAGAGCGAGAAACUCAAGGCUUUAGCGAACUGCGAAGCCAAGUAGCCAACUAACCAAGUGAGAAAAUAUGGGAUUUUGGAAGACUGGAACUGGAAGGUUGGAACUUUGGAGUUUGGAAACGGAAGC